UGGCUGAGUAAACCUCACAAGCACUCUGCUAACAGAGUAAAAAAACAUUCAAAGCUGUCUCUUGCCACACUAGUCAGUGAGUAUUAUUCUCUGAGUGCAACCAUGUUGAGAAGGAAGAGCUUAUUCUUACACAGAUGCUUUUUCAUCUACAAAUGCAUUUUAAGGUAGGGCAUGGAUAUCCAGCUUCAGCAUACCCUUCACAAAGCCUUGAGGGCUGACCCAGACCCUCCUGAAAUGAAUAGCAGAUUUUCACACAGAACACUUCUAUCCUGACUUGACCGCAAAAUCCUGGCAUGCAAAUCCAACAAUAUUUACCUCCUGCUAGAUGGGAACAGCUCAUCAUCCUGCACAAAGUUAAAUACAGACCUCUGAUGUGAGAACCAGUCAUCUGCAGAAUGUCUACAAGCAUGAAUGCUCAGGAAAACAGUGGCAAGACAUUGAGUAACAUGCAUCAAACUGAACAUGGUGAGCUGCAGAAGAAAGGUUGACAAUCUUUAUGCACAAACAUGACAGGGUGGUCUGUCAUCACUAACUUAAAAAACCAAAAUCCUUUAGUUUAUAAUGCUGACAAAUCUGAUGACUGAGAAUAUAGCUGGACACUUGGAAGAGGCUCUGACUUGCGGAGGCUCUGAGUUGUCCAAGAAUGGUGACAGAUACGUUAAGAAACUAACAGAGAGACAGUCUAAGGUCAUACAGUCUCUGGAUUACUAGAUUUUUACUUAAUAAACAUGUGAAUGAAUUAUG
This is a long non-coding RNA of Pezoporus flaviventris, 744 nucleotides long. RefSeq lists it as uncharacterized. NCBI's taxonomy places the organism in Eukaryota, Metazoa, Chordata, Aves, Psittaciformes, Psittacidae. The transcript is spliced from 3 exons. The record is from RefSeq and is a predicted model, not a curated record.